Acanthosepion pharaonis is the source of this 113-nucleotide non-coding RNA. The record is from the annotation of a GenBank genome assembly. Lineage: Eukaryota; Metazoa; Mollusca; Cephalopoda; Sepiida; Sepiidae.
UAUGGCCACAUCAUGUUGAAACAUCGGUUCCUGUAUGAUCACCAAAGUUAAGCAACAUCUAGCCUGGUCAAUACUUAGAUGGGUGACUGCUUAGGAAUACCAGUUGGUGUAAG